RNAcentral lists this unclassified non-coding RNA (253 nucleotides) under uncultured Lachnospiraceae bacterium. RNAcentral describes it as "contains 16S-23S intergenic spacer region". It matches the Rfam family "Bacterial small subunit ribosomal RNA", at positions 524 to 776 of the family's 1533-position model. Lineage: Bacteria; Bacillati; Bacillota; Clostridia; Lachnospirales; Lachnospiraceae. The record is from RNAcentral.
UACGUAGGGGGCAAGCGUUAUCCGGAUUUACUGGGUGUAAAGGGAGCGCAGACGGCUUGGCAAGUCUGAAGUGAAAGCCCGGGGCUUAACCCCGGGACUGCUUUGGAAACUGUGAAGCUAGAGUGUCGGAGAGGUAAGUGGAAUUCCCAGUGUAGCGGUGAAAUGCGUAGAUAUUGGGAGGAACACCGGUGGCGAAGGCGGCUUACUGGACGAUAACUGACGUUGAGGCUCGAAGGCGUGGGGAGCACACAGG